This 1344-nucleotide long non-coding RNA is filed under the name Salvator merianae (Argentine black and white tegu). RNAcentral describes it as "lncRNA (ENSSMRG00000000274.1)". The record is from RNAcentral. Lineage: Eukaryota; Metazoa; Chordata; Lepidosauria; Squamata; Teiidae.
GUGAUAAUGGUGCCACAGCCGCUCCUUGAUUUAUUUUUGUGUUGGGAGCGUGGGUCCCCGACUGGAGUCUUCUGUGUUCCUUUGGCCUGAUCCUUGGCCUCUCUUUGCAGUCACUGUUACUGACCAGACAGAGGAAUGUGAGUGGGAAAAGCGCCAUAAAAGAGAAAUACUACCGCUCAGUAGUAAAUUGUCUGAACAACAGUAAGAGAUUUCACAACAAACAUUUUGGCAGUUGCCUUANGGGACACUAUAAAACCAUGUCUAGUAAUCAUUGGCUUGGGUUGGGAGAUCCAUGCUUUACAUCUGUUGAAGAACUUUCUUGCAAAAUCAUCGGAAAAUCAUGAGAUGGGUUGAAAGAGAUUACUUGGACACAUACUCGCUCCAAAAUACAACAGAUGAAAAGGAGAAGGUAACAUGCCAUGAGUAGUCACUUUCCUGCUCAUCAGAAAGGUGAGAAAGCUUCUGAAUAGGAUUUGGGAAGAGUUGCAGGUACUCAAAAGAGAAGCCAGAAAGGGGAACUCACAGACACAAGAGGUGUGAGAGGAGUGUUCACCAGGGAUAGGGUUCCUGCANCAUUAAUAGUUGUGCAGAAGAGGAAAUUUCAGCAGGUGUUGCCAGCAUUAGAAGCCACACCCCCAAGGCGCUCAGAGUGGCUUAGAAUACACAAUGUUAGGAAAUUCUCUGCAGUCACAGUUACAAAGACGUUAAAAAGACAUAAGGAAAAGGGAAUCAGGAGGGAAGGAGAUAUGCCAGAUGCCCAUCCAUUAUGAUCAUUGACAUGCAUCUGCAACCUUUCUUUCCCAGCAUAGCAGCAUGCAUUCAUUGGCAAGUGCAAAUAAGAUGACCCUUGCACCUCUCAGUUCCACCUUAUGGUUCUGAACAUGCUUUCUUGGAGACUUUUCAGGUGGAUGGGAGCAUCCAGUUGGUUCCUGUAAUGCUGANUCAAAUAUUCUGUGGAGCCAGUAGAAGAUAUGGAGCUAAUCUACUUUGGGGCAAUGUGUUGCCAAUAGUUGCUCAAUGGUUCCUACAAUAUCCACCAGUAUCCAGAGCAAGACGGUGUUCCCCCUGGCUGGCUGGUUAAGUAACUGGACUUCCUAAAGACUAACCUUUCCCUGAUAGACUAUCCUGACUUGACCACCUGAUCAAGAAAUAGGAAGUGAGGUGUCAUCAGUACGCUGACAAUACUCAGCUCUAAGGUUCUAGUAGCACACAGGCCUUAACUCCUGGUUUAAAAGGAACAUUGCUUGAAUUUUGCAUCAAAAAAGAACAGACACUGAGCCUAUUCACACUUAGCGAGUGGAAUGUUCCAGGUCACUCACUGGAACGGAGCAUUCACACCUGCAA